CCUACGGGCGUCAGCAGUGGAGAAUCUUGCACAAUGGGGGAAACCCUGAUGCAGCGACGCCGCGUGAGUGAAUGAGUAUUUCGUUAUGUAAAGCUCUAGCAGCAGGGAAGCAAAUGACGGUGCCUGAAUAAGAAGCCCCGGCUAACUACGUCCCAGCAUCCGCGGUAAUACGUAUGGUGCAAGCGUUAUCCGGAUUUACUUGGUGUAAAGGGAGCGUAUACGGCGGUGCAAGUCUGGAGUGAAAGGCGGGGGCACAACCCCCGGACUGCACGGGAUACUGUACGGCUGGAGUGCAGGAGAGGGAAGCGGAAUUCCCAGUGUAGCGGUGAAAUGCGUAGAUAUUAGGAGGAACACCAGUGGCGAAGGCGGGUUACUGGACUGUAACUGACGUUGAGGCUCGAAAGCGAGGGGAGCAAACAGGAUGAGAUACCCCUGUAGUC
RNAcentral lists this ribosomal RNA (440 nucleotides) under uncultured bacterium. Its description in RNAcentral is "partial 16S ribosomal RNA". It matches the Rfam family "Bacterial small subunit ribosomal RNA", at positions 338 to 795 of the family's 1533-position model. The record is from RNAcentral.